Molecule: ribosomal RNA, 483 nt
Filed under: uncultured bacterium
Lineage: Bacteria
Description: partial 16S ribosomal RNA
Rfam family: Bacterial small subunit ribosomal RNA
Source: RNAcentral
ACUCAAAUGAAUUGACGGGGACCCGCACAAGCGGUGGAGCGCCUGGUUUAAUUCGAUGCUAAGCGAAGAACCUUACCAAGGCUUGAACUGUAACUGCACAACCUAUGAAAGUAGGAAUCCUUCGAGGGUGUUACAGAGGUGCUGCAUGGCUGUCGUCAGCUCGUGUCGUGAGAUGUUGGGUUAAGUCCCGCAACGAGCGCAACCCUUAUCUGCUGUUACAAUUUCUGCAGAGACUGCCUUGCCAAAACGAGGAGGAAGGUGGGGACGACGUCUAGUCAUCAUAGCCCUUACGUCUUGGGCUACACAGACGCUACAAUGGUUGGUACAACGGGUAGCCAAAGCGCGAGCUGGAGCCAAUCCUUUAAAACCAACCUCAGUUCAGAUUGCAGGCUGCAAUUCGCCUGCAUGAAGUCGGAAUCGCUAGUAAUCGCGGAUCAGCAUGCCGCGGUGAAUACGUUCUCGGGUCUUGUACACACCGCCCGU